CCUACGGGAGGCAGCAGUGAGGAAUAUUGGUCAAUGGGCGCGAGCCUGAACCAGCCAAGUAGCGUGAAGGAUGACUGUCCUACGGGUUGUAAACUUCUUUUAUAAAGGAAUAAAGUGAGGCACGUGUGCCUUUCUGUGUGUACUUUAUGAAUAAGGAUCGGCUAACUCCGUGCCAGCAGCCGCGGUAAUACGGAGGAUCCGAGCGUUAUCCGGAUUUAUUGGGUUUAAAGGGAGCGUAGAUGGGUUGUUAAGUCAGUUGUGAAAGUUUGCGGCUCAACCGUAAAAUUGCAAUUGAUACUGGCAGUCUGGAGUACCGGAGAGGUCAGCGGAAUGCCUUGUGUAGCGGUGAAAUGCGUAGAUAUAAGGAAGAACACCAGUGGCGAAGGCGGAUGACUGGACGGCAACUGACGGUGAGGCGCGAAAGCGUGGGGAGCGAACAGGAUUAGAUACCCCUGUAGUC
This 460-nucleotide ribosomal RNA is filed under the name uncultured bacterium. RNAcentral describes it as "partial 16S ribosomal RNA". It matches the Rfam family "Bacterial small subunit ribosomal RNA", at positions 338 to 795 of the family's 1533-position model. The record is from RNAcentral.